CUGGCUGAUGCAGGGUUCAUGCCACCCCCUAGUGGGGGAUUGGGGCAGUGCCAACCAUCAGCCUGGCUGCUCCCUGUGUGCUACUGAGCCUGGAAGUGACAAAGACCCACCCCUGUCCCCACUCAGGCCACCUGCUGCUCCGAUCACCUGCACUGCUGCCCCCAAGACACUGUGUGUGACCUGAUCCAGAGUAAGUGCCUCUCCAAGGAGAACGCUACUACGGACCUCCUCACUAAGCUGCCUGCGCACACAGGUACCAGAGGCAGGGCGCAGAUACAGGGGUAGGGCCCCCUUUCCUCCCUUUUAGGCCUGGCCUUAGGAUCACUGCAAGGUGGCGUAAGCGGUACCCUCCAUCUUCAACACCUGGUUGCAGCUGUGGAGCUGGCAAAGGGUGGAUACCCCUGAGGGUCCCAGUGCCACUUCUGACCUGUCCUCUCUGCCUCCCUCACAGUGGGGGAUGUGAAAUGUGACAUGGAGGUGAGCUGCCCAGAUGGCUAUACCUGCUGCCGUCUACAGUCGGGGGCCUGGGGCUGCUGCCCUUUUACCCAGGCUGUGUGCUGUGAGGACCACAUACACUGCUGUCCCGCGGGGUUUACGUG
RNAcentral lists this small RNA (599 nucleotides) under Pongo abelii (Sumatran orangutan). RNAcentral's name for it is "retained intron". Lineage: Eukaryota; Metazoa; Chordata; Mammalia; Primates; Hominidae. The record is from RNAcentral.